This 458-nucleotide ribosomal RNA is filed under the name uncultured bacterium. RNAcentral's name for it is "partial 16S ribosomal RNA". It matches the Rfam family "Bacterial small subunit ribosomal RNA", at positions 338 to 795 of the family's 1533-position model. The record is from RNAcentral.
CCUACGGGUGGCAGCAGUGGGGAAUAUUGCACAAUGGGGGAAACCCUGAUGCAGCGACGCCGCGUGAGUGAAGAAGUACUUCGGUAUGUAAAGCUCUAUCAGCAGGGAAGAAAUAGCGACCUUUGUGUCGCCAGACGGUACCUGAUUAAGAAGCCCCGGCUAACUACGGCCCAGCAGCCGCGGUAAUUCGUAGGGGGCAAGCGUUAUCCGGAUUUACUGGGUGUAAAGGGAGCGUAGACGGCAGCGCAAGGCGGAAGUGAAAUGCCGGGGCUUAACCGCGGAACUGCUUGGGAAACUGUGCAGCUAGAGUGCAGGAGAGGUAAGUGGAAUUCCUAGUGUAGCGGUGAAAUGCGUAGAUAUUAGGAGGAACACCAGUGGCGAAGGCGGCUUACUGGACUGUAACUGACGUUGAGGCUCGAAAGCGUGGGGAGCAAACAGGAUUAGAUACCCGAGUAGUC